GAUGAACGCUGGCGGCGUGCCUAAUACAUGCAAGUCGAGCGAACAGACGAGGAGCUUGCUCCUCUGACGUUAGCGGCGGACGGGUGAGUAACACGUGGAUAACCUACCUAUAAGACUGGGAUAACUUCGGGAAACCGGAGCUAAUACCGGAUAAUAUAUUGAACCGUAUGGUUCAAUAGUGAAAGACGGUUUUGCUGUCACUUAUAGAUGGAUCCGCGCCGCAUUAGCUAGUUGGUAAGGUAACGGCUUACCAAGGCGACGAUGCGUAGCCGACGUGAGAGGGUGAUCGCCCACACUGGAGCUGAGACGCGGUCCAGGCUCCUACGGGAGGCAGCAGUAGGGAAUCUUCCGCAAUGGGCGAAAACCUGACGGAGCAACGCCGCGUGAGUGAUGGAGGUCUUCGGAUCGUAAAACUCUGUUAUUAGGGAAGAACAAAUGUGUAAGUAACUAUGCACGUCUUGACGGUACCUAAUCAGAAAGCCACGGCUAACUACGUG
Molecule: ribosomal RNA, 497 nt
Filed under: uncultured bacterium
Lineage: Bacteria
Description: partial 16S ribosomal RNA
Rfam family: Bacterial small subunit ribosomal RNA
Source: RNAcentral